GGGAAGGAUAGUGUUUUUCGUUCUUUGUUGAAGCGGGUCGGCCGUGGGAUUGGGAUCGGGAGGGGGUUCCCACCCUCGCCCCCUGGGGCAGGGAGCCAGGGACGGAUUAUUCUCUGCGGGGCGACGACAACAGUUUCCUUUCGGGUUGCUACAUCGACCCCACUCCAGCCUCCUCCCGCUGUCAGACCCGUCCUGAGCCGGUGAGAGUUAGUGUGACCCAGACUGCGGCAGUCCCGCUCUACCCCGGCUCACCCGGCCCUGUCCAUCUGUAAUGAGUGACCACUCCCACCCCCUCCCGCUGUCAGACCCGUCCUGAGCCGGUGAGAGUUAGUGUGACCCAGACUGCGGCAGUCCCGCUCUACCCCGGCUCACCCGGCCCUGUCCAUCUGUAAUGAGCGACGGACACAUCACAGCCGAGUGUCCUCGGGAGCAGCAGCUCAGACUCAACUCUCCGUAUAGAGUGAGCACACCGGUGCAGGACCAUUGUUGGUCACCGGGGAAGUCAGACUGUGAUUUGCUGGGAUCACACUGAACGUCGGCCGGUUAAACAUCAGAGGGUUGCUACAUUGACCCCACUCCCGCCUCCUCCCGCUGUCAGACCCGUCCUGAGCCGGUGAGAGUUAGUGUGACCCGGACUGCGGCAGUCCCGCUGCACCCCGGCUCACCCGGCCCUGUCCAUCUGUAAUGAGCGACGGACACAUCACAGCCGAGUGUCCUCGGGAGCAGCAGCUCCGACUCAACUCUCCGUACAGAGUGAGCACAUCGGUGCAGGAACAUUGUCGGUCACCCGGGAAGUCAGACUGUGAUUUCCCGGGACCACACUGAACGCCGUCCGGUUACAACAUCAGAGAACUGCCGCUCACUGAUCUUCUUCCGCGUCAUUCUCCGCAAAACUGAGACUGUUGAACGGGACAAUCCCAGGAGUUCAGCAGUUCCUGCGAUAUACAAACUGCUCCCUCUGGCACCGACAAACAUUCCACUCUCAAAAUCACCGAGAUCACAUUUCAUCUGCAUGGUGAUGUUUGUUUGGAGACAGAACGUACCCUGUGCUAAGGAACAGGAGGCGGAGAGACCCGCUGGUAAAGCUGUGGGUCUCGUUAAUGAUUAUCACCAGGAGCUGACUGAACAUUAACCAGGGUGUGUUCAUUACUUACUGAACCCGUAAUACUGCCUCACUGGGACAGGGUGGUAACAGAACCUGGAGCCGCAGUACAAAGUAAGGAGCUGUGGAUAUUGAUAUAUAAACAUCACAAAGGCAGUUAGCCACUUAAAUGAAACUGAGAACUUAUUGGGUUGUUCAACAAUUGAACUGUAGCGAAUCACUUUUGAAAGAAUUAAU
This is a long non-coding RNA of Hypanus sabinus (Atlantic stingray), 1339 nucleotides long. RefSeq lists it as uncharacterized. The record is from RefSeq and is a predicted model, not a curated record. NCBI's taxonomy places the organism in Eukaryota, Metazoa, Chordata, Chondrichthyes, Myliobatiformes, Dasyatidae. The transcript has 4 exons.